GGUUUAGUUAAGUCAGAUGUAGAAACGGCCCGGGGCUACCAACCGUACGGUAAUUGCUAUUUAGAAACGUGGACAAACUAGAGUACUGUAGAGGGGGUAGAAUUUCAGGUGUAGCGGUGAAAUGCGUAGAGAUCUGAAGGAAUACCGGUGGCGAAGGCGGCCCCCUGGACAGAUACUGACACUCAGAUGCGAAAGCGUGGGGAGCAAACAGGAUUAGAUACCCUGGUAG
RNAcentral lists this ribosomal RNA (229 nucleotides) under uncultured bacterium. RNAcentral's name for it is "partial 16S ribosomal RNA". It matches the Rfam family "Bacterial small subunit ribosomal RNA", at positions 577 to 793 of the family's 1533-position model. The record is from RNAcentral.